CAAUAAGCGGAGGAAAAGAAACCAACAGGGAUUGCCUCAGUAACGGCGAGUGAAGCGGCAACAGCUCAAAUUUGAAAUCUGGCUCCUUUGGGGUCCGAGUUGUAAUUUGGAGAAGAUGCUUCGGGUACGGUCCCGGUCUAAGUUCCUUGGAACAGGACGUCACAGAGGGUGAGAAUCCCGUACGUGGUCGGUGGCCGUGCCCGUGUGAAGCUCUUUCGACGAGUCGAGUUGUUUGGGAAUGCAGCUCAAAAUGGGUGGUAAAUUUCAUCUAAAGCUAAAUAUUGGCCAGAGACCGAUAGCGCACAAGUAGAGUGAUCGAAAGAUGAAAAGCACUUUGGAAAGAGAGUUAAACAGUACGUGAAAUUGUUGAAAGGGAAGCGCUUGCAACCAGACUUGCGCGCGGUCGAUCAUCCUGGGUUCGCCCGGGUGCACUCGGCCGCGCUCAGGCCAGCAUCGGUUCGGGUGGUUGGAUAAAGGCCUCGGGAACGUGGCUCCCCUCGGGGAGUGUUAUAGCCCGAGGUGCAAUGCAGCCUACCUGGACCGAGG
This 546-nucleotide ribosomal RNA is filed under the name Byssoascus striatosporus. Its description in RNAcentral is "LSU rRNA". It matches the Rfam family "Eukaryotic large subunit ribosomal RNA", at positions 44 to 594 of the family's 3401-position model. The record is from RNAcentral. Lineage: Eukaryota; Fungi; Ascomycota; Leotiomycetes; Myxotrichaceae.